Molecule: long non-coding RNA, 1119 nt
Filed under: Strigops habroptila (Kakapo)
Lineage: Eukaryota; Metazoa; Chordata; Aves; Psittaciformes; Psittacidae
Description: lncRNA (ENSSHBG00005004824.1)
Source: RNAcentral
UUUUUUUGCAACCAACUUUAUUAAGAUGAAAACUUCAUGUUAACUACAAAGUAAAGGCAAAUCGAGGCAAAGUUUGUAAUGGACUCAAGGUUUUCUUAAGUUCUCAAGUACAUGUAAUAGCAGGUGUGGUUAAUUUUUUUUUUUUAACAUUACUAAAACUGUAAGCAUAGAAGAAAAAAACGAAAAAAUGCAGAUUAAAAAAAAAGUUAAAAAAAAAAAAGAUCAUUUCUGAAGAAAUUUCAAGUCAUAAACUGCCAAGCAUUUUAUGAACAAUUUCACUUGUUUACACACUUGCAAUUUCACCAAAUCAUAAACUGAGGCACAAAUACAAUCCAGAACAACAAAGCUGAGUGAAUCUUGGAAUCAUGUCUGUCAUUCAUCUCUCAAAAUUAUUAGUCAAACAUGCUAGAUAACACGUACAAGAGCCAGUAAAGCUCCAGUACAUUUGUCACAACAUUUUUCUUAUCAUUAAGCAACAUGAAUGUGUUGAGCUUGGGGAAAAAAUAAUCCACUGCACAGAAACAGUAUUUAGAGCUUAAUCCCUCAGAACUAUUUUCAUAAGCUUACUUCACUGCAGUAUAAAUUGAAAGAUACAGUCAGCAUUUAUAACAAGGUAUUUGGGAGCUAUGGUAUAACAGUUUUAUGGGUAAAGUAACAGAGCAUUUUGACAGAGGGAGGAUGAAGUUUUAAUAAGCAGAUGGCACAGAACGGCAGUGAGCAGCUAAAAAUCAUCAGCUAUGCAGCAUGCCUAAUUGUUGCGUCUAUGUUAGUAACUGUGUGUGUCCAUUUCACUGUCCAUUUCAAAUGUGCUUUCAUGCAAUAAUUUUUAAAACUUUUGUCUUCAUUUAAUUCUAGAAUAAAAAUACUGAAGAUUCAUAUCUCUUAUAACAUGCAGACAUAAAAAGAGACCUUGAGCUCACACUUUUAAAACAUUCAAGUCAUUCAUCUCACAUGGUUACUGCAAUGUCUUUUUAGUUGGGAGUAGCCUUUAACAAUUAAUAAAUUGUCUUAAUUUUCUACGUCAAUUAAGUAUUGCCUAAAUUCAGAAAGCAGAGAGCCAAAACCUUUCAAAAAGCUAAUCUGAAGUUCUUACUUAAAACUCUUACUGUAAAUUCAGGC